UACAAUCGUCAAAGAAGUUCG
Molecule: non-coding RNA, 21 nt
Filed under: Caenorhabditis elegans
Lineage: Eukaryota; Metazoa; Nematoda; Chromadorea; Rhabditida; Rhabditidae
Source: RNAcentral